GAUAAGGGGAAACCAUGGGCAUCGCUUGAUGAAAAUGUUAGCAUUGAACUUUCAAUGAGUUUUCCUCUUUAGCUAACCAAUUUAAAACCACACCAAUUACAGCAUGUUCACCUUGUGUGAUCCUGACAAUGGCAUCUCUUUAUGCCAGGCCAGCAGGCCAGGCCAAGCCAAAGCAUGGCUUGCAGCGGCAAAACAGGAUAAGAAUUCACUUAGAUGUUAAGCGUAGGAAAUGAACUUACCUUUCAACAAUUCCAGGCAAUGUGCUGUAGCUAAAGCCAGAAGAACUCACAAAUCUACCUUACAUUCUCCUGCUCAAAACUGAAUUCUCUCUCAACCAGUCUAUCCAGUGAUUUGAAACCCAUAAUAUGCUAACCAAAAUUGCAGUUACUA
This 390-nucleotide unclassified non-coding RNA is filed under the name Hevea brasiliensis (rubber tree). Lineage: Eukaryota; Viridiplantae; Streptophyta; Magnoliopsida; Malpighiales; Euphorbiaceae. The record is from RNAcentral.